GCCACCUGCUGGGCCUCCAUCUCCCUCCGAGCCUGCUCAAGGAUGGAACGAAUGUUCUCGUCGGAGCUGCUGGAGGAGGACGGAGGCUGAGAACUCUCAACUGCAGGAACAGAGGAGAACAUAAAAAGACUCGCCUGCUUUCUGCACUUGCAACUCUCUCUUUGCCUGUUCCAAGAUGGACUUGAUGGCUUCAUCGGAGCCGGUCUCAGGCGUGCGGAUCCGUGUGGUGAUGUUACCUGAGAAGACACGAGAAGGACAUGUAGCUAUUCCAGGCCAGAGAUUGAGAAGAAACAGACCAGCACAACAAAAACAUACAAGACACAGCGGUUCUGAGACUGGAGAAACCCGGAACACGAGAGGGGAGGCGUGAGACAGACCUGGCCGCGUGGA
Molecule: long non-coding RNA, 390 nt
Organism: Carassius auratus (goldfish)
Lineage: Eukaryota; Metazoa; Chordata; Actinopteri; Cypriniformes; Cyprinidae
Exons: 3
Source: RefSeq, a predicted model, not a curated record